Molecule: long non-coding RNA, 25997 nt
Filed under: Panax ginseng (ginseng)
Lineage: Eukaryota; Viridiplantae; Streptophyta; Magnoliopsida; Apiales; Araliaceae
Description: long non-coding RNA (PGIN_LNC003810)
Source: RNAcentral
UUGAACGGUUGAACCCCGUGAAAUUAGAUUCAUAACAAUCGAAAUUUAUUAGUUUUGAUGCUCAUGCACAAUUAUGUUCUCUGAUAUGCCUUCUUGUUGGUUGUUCUUUGUUCUGUUCGUUACUAUCUUUUUUCAGAGGUGUCCUUUCGUUCCUCUCGCUCUCGGCUAACUCUCUCUCCGCAAUAUCAUUGACACCAAUCAGGAAGGUACUACUACCUAAUUUCUUCUUCAUUCUAAGAAAUACUCCAUCACCUUUUACAUAUCCCGCACCUAUCUUUUUGUUAAGGAUUAGCCCUUAAAAUUAAACGGAAAUAAACCUUAAUCCUGCUAGGUCUUCCAAAAAGGAGGAGUCUCAGAUAUGAUUGGUUCUAAAAACUGGAGACCUAAUUCAUAUUUGAUAAUCAAAAUAAAUUAUCAUUUGGUGAAGAAAUAAAGGUAUUUUGUUUGUUAUUGCUAGAAUAUCUCCUUCCUUACUAUUUGGUCUGCAAUCAUUUAACUGGACUAAUUGGGAAACGUCUUAAGGUAUUUUUUAUAAUUAACGUAUGGGGAAGAAGCCAUCAAAGGUAUUUUUGUUUCUAGUGUUUCAAGGAGUUCGAUUUGCAAGAAUAUUUUCUUUCAUUAUAUUAAUUGGUCUGUUAUCAUAGAUGAGAACAGUUAGAAUAUUGGUGUUUUUUUCUAGUGAAUGGUACGUGCCCUUACAUAGUUACAUGUAUGGUAAUUCCUGGUUCAUUUUUUUUUAUUCUUUUGGUUGAUGGCAUGGAUAAUGAUUAUUAGUAACUGGAAUUUUUCAGUAUAUCAUGUACUUUUUUUGUUUUUGUUUUUGUUUUGAUUAGUGAAAAAAGAAAAAAGAAAAGGACUGAACCCAAGUUUUUUGUGACCCUUGUCUACGCAUUAUCCACUACUGACAAUCAGAAGCCUAAUGAAGGCUGUUGUGUAUUCUUUUCCUGGUUUGCUCCUGGUUUUGUGCAAUGAGUAGUUCUGGACUCAGUAAUUGUCAGUUUUUUCUUGCCUAUUACCUCACCGAUUUGCACUUAACUUGGCACAAUUCAAUUCUCUUCUAUUGUGGACUUCACCAUGCUGCUGUUGGCAUCUUGCUACUAUCAAGGAUAGUGCCAUCUGGUGCUUCCCAACAGGAAGCCUUUAAAUUGUGUUUCUUAUGCUAAUAGUUUGGUCUCCGCUUUUUGAUAAUAUUACUGUGAUAAAACUUUGGUCUACAUAGUAACAUCAACUUGGUUUUGUGGUUCCUUGAUUGAUUACAUUUUCUUCUCUCUCUCCCUCUUUCAGUUUUUAAAUUUUUUGUGUGGUUGUCUACAGUACGUUGUUCCAUGGUUGACUUAAAAAAAAUUAGAGUAUUUAGUUGUCGAGGUUUGGAAAAAUUAAUGGCAUUGUGGGGCUUUGUUAUAGUGUAAUAAUUUUUCUCAGUUUGCAGGAUAUAUUUUUGUCUCAACAUCUUGACUAUAAGCCUUUUUAAUGGUUUAGGCAUUCUUACUCUUCUUUUUUAUUUCCUCAUUCACAUGUAUUUCUAACUAGAAAAUGUCAAACCCAACCAUUAACUUUGUACUUUUGUUUUGAAGGAAUUUUGGUUUGAAGGUUAUCCACAUCAAUAACAUUCUCCUUUGGUAGGGGUGUUCAAAUCCAGUGGAUACUCAAUUUGACGUGUUAUAUUUGUAAUUCCUUUUCUUUUUGUCAUUAAGCCCUUUUUUUGUGCGUCUUAUCUCCUUCUUUCUCUCUCAUUUUUUUCAGGGACUAGAAGUAGAGCCUGCAUAUUUGUAUGGGGGAAGUUAUCAACAUGGUGCAUUAAGCCCUUGGUGGUUUACUAUUUCUAACCUUGUUCACUUAUUUGACAUUGAGGUGCCUAAAUCUAUGGAUUAUUCUUUAAAUACUCGUUCCCGAUUAAUGUUGACAAGUAGACAUGGUAUUUGCUAUCGAGUUUUUGCUAGUUACUUGUUUUAUUUGUAGUUUUUGCUAGUUACCUGUUCUAUGUGGGCCCCUAGUGGAAUAAUUUUGUCUAGCAAUAGCAUAGUUGAUUUCUUAUCUGAAUUUUUAAGGUGCUUACGAUUGUAAUUAUUGUUUCAAUACUCUUCCCUUGCAUUAUGUUGACAUGGGGCAUUUGGUAACCUUCUCUAUUGGAGUAGGUGAGACUUUGAGUUAUUUUAUCUUUUUUUGGCAAUAAUUAUCUCGAGUUGUAUUCAUUGAUUAUUUAGCACAACUUGGUUUGUCCCUUGUCUUUCCGUUGUACACUUGACAAUCAGAAGUGUAAGCUGGACCUCUUGUUACGCAGGUUGUUGUUUAUUCUCUUCCUGGUUUGCUCCUGGUUUCAUGCAAUGGGUAGUUCUGGACUCAAUAAUUGUUAGUUUAUUCUUGUUACCUAACUGUUUUUCGCCUAACAUGGCACACUUGAUUCCUCUUCUAUUGUGGACUUCCUUGCAUCUUCCUACUGUCGAAGGGAGGCCUGUAAAUUGUGUAGGAUAGUUCUAUUCGGUACUUCGAAACAGGGAAGCCUAUAAAUUGUGUUUCUUAUGUUAAUUGUUUGUUCUUUAUUUGAUAAUAUUACUGUGAGAGAACUUAGGUCUACAUAGUACUCCCUCCGUCCCAUAGUUAUAGGCUGAUUUCUUUUGGCACAUAGUUUAAGAAAAUUAGUUAAGUGGCAGUUUUUAACAUAAAUUUUUCACAUAUACCCCUUAAUAUGGAAUUAAUCAAUAAGUUAAUUACUCCUUACUUAUCACACUGGAACUCUCAACUUCAUUGAUUGACGUGUACUGACCAUUAAAAUCCAUAACCAUAGAACUUUAACCAAAGAGAAAACAAUAACAUUAAAUGUGGUGAUAAAAAUAAUGACAUUGAAUGUUGUUUCUUCAAAAAAAGAGUAAUGGUUGAAUAUUUAUUAUAAGGGCAUAAAAGUAAAACAAUGAACCAACUAAAUUUUAUAAAUAGUAAGUAGCCUAUAUAUUGGGACAUCUCAAAAUGGAAAAUCAGCCUAUAACUAUGGGACAGAGGGAGUAUCAUUAACUGGUGUUCACAGUUCCUUAUUGAUUGCAUUUUUUUAAUCAUAUUUUUUAUUUUUGUGAUAUGUUUGUGGUCGUCUACAGUGCAUUGUUCCAAGGUUGACAUUGGGAAAAAACUAGAGUUUUUAUUUGCAAUGUUCGAAAAAGCUAAAAUCGCUAUGAGGCGUUUUUAUCUGGGCUAUGCGAGGCGUAAGCCUCGAGGUGGAGCGAGGCGGAAGCCUUGAUUCAAAGACCUAAAAGUCCCCAAAAAAUUAUGAAAAAAUAUUAAUAAAAUCAUAAAAUAAUUCAUCAUUACAAUUAAGGUUAUAGAAGACAUAAAUAACCAACGUCACAGUAAUGUAUCAUUACAAAACAUCAAAACAACAUAGUAUCAUCAAGUACUUAUAUAGUGAUCAUCCAUCACUAUGUAAGUAAUGUAUCAUUUGUAUCUAGCGGCUUGAAUAAAGGAUCAAAUCCUUAGAUCAUCAUCCCCAUCACCAUCAUCAUCAUCACUAUCAUCACUAAGAGGAUCCUCCAUGGAAUCAUCAUCGUAUCUAAUAGCUCUGUCAUCCUCCUCAUUGUCAGUGCUAAGAUCCUCAAAUUCAGGUUCUUCAUCAACCAAUUGCAAUCCCUUCCCUUUAUCUAUAAAUAAACAAGUGAAUAUAUAUUUAAUCCAAAUGAAUAUGUUUUUUUAAAGAACACCUUAAAGGCAACUUAAGUAAUGACACUAAUCUUUUGACAUAGUUUUUGACGGCAAAGUGUUUCUCUCUCUUUUGACUUCCUUGUUUACUACUUGUUCCCCGAGUCCCUUGCCCUCCAAGUGUAAUCUCUCCCACAUUAGUCUCUUCUCCCCCAACUGUCUUCUCAUUCCCAUGAAUCCUUUCACCCUCCUCCAUAUCAUCAUUCCCAGAAGUCAGUCUCGAGAUAUUUUCAUCGUUUCCCCCCGCAAUCCACUCAUUAUCAGAUGACACAUUUUCAACAACCAAUGGAUCAUCUUCUUCCGUUAGUGCCUUUUUCUUGAUAUGCCGAUCUUUCAAUUUUUUAUUAUACACAAUGUAAGCCAAUGAGUUAAGCCUGGAUGCGGACAGUCGGUUCCUUCUCUUUGUAUGUAUUUAUAUUACAAUUAAUUUAGCAAUUAGCAUUAGUGAAAAUGUCAGAUCUCAUAAAAUCUUAAUAAAUGAUUUAUAUCUAAUAAAUACCUGACUGAAAGUACUCCAAUUACGCUCACACCCCGAAGAUGAGCAAGUUAAACUCAGAAUCUUCACUGCAAAGUUUCUUAAUUCCGGAGUUUCAUCUGCGAUCCACCAAUCAGUUGGAUCAAUAUUAAAAUAUAUAUCAAUCUUACCGGUACACGUUUAAUCAAAGUGAAAGCAUAACCAGACAUUAAUCAACGGUACUUACCGGGAGCACGUUUCUUACACGUAUUUUUAGCAUUUGUGUAGCCAAAUAACCCUUGCCUCAAUCGGAAUGCAUCCAUUUGCAAAUCAGCUUUCUCUCUUUCCACAGCGUUAUGAAUAAAGCUUGUCCAUACAAGAGUACAAUCCCACUUUAACUUCCGCAUUUGCAUAGAAAUUGUCUUCAUAUUGAAAAUGAGGAUUCAAAUAAUAUGCAGCAGCGUGCAAAUGCCGAAUGCAGAUUCAAAUAAUAUGAGGAUUCAAAUAAUAUUAUUUUUGAGAAGUUAACAAUAAAAAGUAAUCCUUCGUACGUUGUUUUUGUUCUUCCUAUAGUCUCAUUCUACUCCCUUAUCCCAUAGUUUUUAUGUUCAGUGUUCCAAGGGAUAGUGGGUCUUUAGCGAAAUAAAUUUGUCUGGCAUAGUUAAAUUCUUUUCUGAAAUUUUAUGGUGCUUACCUAUUGUAUUCUUGUUUUAAUGGUCUUCCCAUCCUAUUAUGUUCACAUAUAGGGCAUUUGGUAACCUUUAUUGGAGGAGGCGAGGUUCUGACUUAUUUUAUUUUUUUUGUCCAAAAUUAUCUUCAAUUGUAUUCAUUGGUUAUUUAACAGCUUGUUUUGUGACCCUUGUCUUUCUGUUGUCCACUGACAUUCAGAAGCCUAAGCUGGACCUCUUAUUAUGAAGUCUGUUGUGUAUUCUCUUCCUUGUUUGCUCCUGGUUUCAUGCAAUGGGUAGUUCUGGACUCAAUAAUUGUCAGUUUUUUCUUAUUUGUUACCUAACCAGUUAUCGUCUAACAUGGCACAUUUGAAUCCUCUUCUAUUGUGGACUUACCCACCACUGCUGUUGCUACUAUCAAGGUAGUGCUAUCUUGUACUACCAAAUACGGAAGCAUGUAAAUUGUGUCUUAUGUUAAUAGUUUUGUUUUUUCUUUCUGAUAAUCUUACUGUGAGAGAAUUUUGGUCUACGUUGUAACAUCAACCGGUGUUUGCAGUUCCGUAAUUGAUUGCAUUUUCUUCUCUCUUUUUAUUUUCUUUUUUAAAAUUUUCUAAUAUGUUUGUGGUUGUCUACACUGCAUUGUUUCUAGGUAAAGAUAAUAUUACUGUGAGAGAUCUUGGGUCUACGUUUUAACAUCAACAGGUGUUUGCAGCUCCUUAAUUGAUUGCGUUUUCUUCUCUCUUUAUUUUUUUUUAAUAAAAUUUGUUUAAAUAGUCAUCAGUGUUAUCUUCUGUGUAAUAGUUUAUCUUAUUUUGCAGGAUAUAUUUUUGACUCUUAACAUUUUGUCAAGUGGUUUUGGAUCAUGUAUUAUUACUCUUUUCAUUUUUACUCUUUUCAAUUUCCGCAUUCUCUUUUAUUUCUAACCAGAAAUGUCAAGCCCAACAAUUAACUUUUUAUUUUGUUUUGUAGGUUAUCCACAUCCAUAACAUUAUCUUUUGGUGGCUGUGUUUCAGUCCAGUAGUUUCCCAAUUUGACAUGUUAAAUUUGUCAUUCGUUUUUUUCUUCAAUAAGCCCUUUAUUUUUGUGCGCCUUAUCUCUUACUUUCUCUCUCAUUUUCCCCCCAGAUUAGAAGUAGAAUUGCACGUGUUUUGGGGCUAGUUAUCUACAUGGUGCAUUGAGCCCUUGGUGGUUACCUUUUCCAACCUUGUUGAUUUAUCCACAUCAAUAUAAUUAUGCUUUGAUGGAGGUCUUUCAAUCCAGUGGUUACCCAAUUUGACGUGUUUUCUUUGUCAUUCGUUUCUUAUUCCUCAUCAACUUUUUUCUGCUCGUCAUAUUCUCUCUCAUUUUUUUCAGAGAUUAGAAGUAAAGCUGCACAUUUGUUUGGGGGGAGUUAUCAACAUGGUGCAUUGAGCCUUUGGUGGUUUACCCUUUUCUAACCUUGCUCAUUUCGGAUCAUGCAUUCAUACUCUUCUUUUCAAUUUCCGCAUUCACAUUUAUUUCGAACCAGAAAAUAUCAAGCCCAAAAAUUAACAUUUAAUUUUUGUUUUGUAGGAAUUUUGUUUGAAUGUUAUCUGCAUCAAUAACAUUAUCCUUUGGUCCCCGUAUUUCAGUCCAGUGGUUACCCAAUUUGAUGUGUUUUAAUUGUCAUUCUUUUUUUGCUCUUCAUUUAGCCCUUUGUUUUUGUGCAUCUUAUCCCUCUCUUUCUCUCGCAUUUUUUUUCUUCCAGAGAUUAGAAGUAGCGCUGCAUGUGCUUUGGGGAAAGUUAUCAACAUGGUGCAUUGAGCCCUUGGUGGUUUACCUUUCAAACCUUGUUUAUUAAUCCACAUCAACGCCAUUAUGCUUUGGUGGGGGUGUUUCAAUCCUUUGGUUACCCAGUUUGACGUGUUUUAUUUUAAUUCGUUUCUUAUUCCUCAUUAAGCCCUUUUUCUGCGUCUUAUUAUCUCUUUUUUUUCCGGAGCUUAGAAGUAAAUCUGCACAUUUGUUUAGGGGGAGUUAUCAACAUGGUGCAUUGAUCCCUUGGUGGUUUACCUUUUCUAACCUUGGUCAUUUCUUUUUUAGAGAUUGAGGUGCCUAAAUUUAUGAAUUAUUAUUUAAAUACCCUUCCCUAUUUUUUGUUUACAACUUGUCAUGGCAUUCACUAUCGAGUUCUUGCUAGUUACCUGUUCUCUGGGUAAUUUUAGUUAUUGACUUGAAUUUUCUGUACCUUAUUAUUUUUUCCUUGAUUAGUUGACAAAAAAAAGUAGUCCUUCAUUUUUUUGUUUUUGUUUCUCCUUGAGUCUUCUUUUUCUUCCUUAUCCUGUAGUUUUUCUCUUCCGAGUGUCCCCAGGCUCAGAGGCAAACUAUUAACUUGGUGCAGAGGGGCCCUAGUGCAAUAAUAUUUCUAGCUUAAUUGAUUUUUUUAUCUGAAUUUUGAAGGUGCUUUUGUUUUCUUGUUUUAAUACUCUUCCUUUCCAUAAUGUUGACAUAGGGAAUUUGGUAGCCUUCUCCGAGUAGGUGGGGCUCUGACUUAUUUAAUCAUUUUUUGUCCACAAGUUAUUUUAAGUUGGAUUCAUCAGUUAUUUACCAACUUGUUUUGUGAUCCUAAUCUUUGCAUUAUCCACUGACAAUCAGAAGUUUAAGCUGGACCUCUUAUUAUGAUAGGCUGUGAUGUAUUAUCUUCGUGGUUUGCUCCUGGUUUCGUGCAAUGGGUAGUUGUGAACUCGACUUGUCAGAUUUUUCUUGCUUUUAAUUGUUUUACGCCUAACAUGGCAAAUUUCAAUUCUUUUCUAUUUUGCAACUUCCCUGCUGCCGCUGUUGGCAUUUUGCUGCUAUCAAGGAUAGUGCCAUCUCCAAACUGGGAACCCUGUAGAUUGUGUUUCAUAAGUUAAUAAUUUGGUCUUUUCUUAUUGAUAAUAUUACUGUGAGAGAACUUCGGUCUACAUAAUUACGUCAACCGGUGUUUGCAGUUCCUUAAUUGAUUGCAUUUUUUCUCUCUUUUGUUUUUUUAAAUGUUUUUAAUCUGUGCGGUUGUCUACUGUGCAUUGUUCCUAGGUUGACUUGGAAAAAACUAGAGUAUUUAGUCGUUGAGGUUCGAAAAAUUAAUUGUAUUAUGUGGUUUUGUAAAUUGUAAUAAAUUUUGAUUUAAUGUACAUCACUUGUAUCUUAUGUAUAAUAAUUUAUCUCAUUUUGCAGUUUAUAUUUAUGACUCUUGAACAUUUUGACUAAGCCUUGUCAGUGGUUUUGGAGCAGGCAUUCUUACUCUUUUCUAUAUUAGCAUUCACAUUUAUUUCUAAACAAAAAAUAUCAAGCCCAACAAUUAACUUUUUACUUUUGUUUUGAAGGAAUUUUGGUUGAAGGUUAUCUACAUCAAUAACAUUAUCCUUUGGUCCCCGUGUUUCAGUCCAGUGGUUACACAAUUUGUAGAGUUUUAUUUGUCAUUCUUUUUGUUUUUCAUUUAACCCUUUGUUUUUGUGCAUCUUAUCCCUCUCUUUCUCUCGCAUUUUUUUCUUCCAGUGAUUAGAAGUAGUGCUGCAUGUGUUUUUGGGGAAGUUAUCAACAUGGUGCAUUGAACCCUUGGUGGUUUACCUUUCAAACCUUUGUUCAUUUCUUUUCUACACAUUGAGUGUCUAAUUUUAUUGAUUAUUCUUUAAAUACUCUUCCCUGAUUUACUACGUGGUCAACUUGAGAUGGCCUUUGCUAUCUAGUUUUUGCUAGUUUCAUGUUCUAUGUGUAUCUUUAGUUAUUGAAUUGAAUUUUCAGUACCUUUUCUUUUGAGAAGUUAACAAUAAAAAGUAAUCCUUCGUACGUUGUUUUUGUUCUUCCUUUAGUCUCAUUCUACUCCCUUAUCCCCUAGUUUUUAUGUUCGGUGUUCCAAGGGAUAGUGGGUCUUUAACGAAAUAAAUUUGUCUGGCAUAGUUAAAUUCUUUUCUGAAAUUUUAUGGUGCUUACCUAUUGUAUUCUUGUUUUAAUGGUCUUCCCAUCCUAUUAUGUUGACAUAUAGGGCAUUUGGUAACCUUCUUUAUUGGAGGAGGCGAGGUUCUGACAGAAGCCUAAGCUGGACCUCUUGUUAUGAAGGCUGUUGUUUAUUCUCUUCCUAGUUUGCUCCUUGUUUCAUGCAAUGGGUAGUUCUGGACUCAAUAAUUGUCAGUUUUUUCUUGUUUGUUACCUAACCAGUUAUCGUCUAACACGGCACAUUUGAGUCCUCUUCUAUUGUGGACUUACCCAUCAUUUCUGUUGCUACUUUCAAGAAUAGUGCCAUCUUGUACUACUAUCAAAUAGGGAAGCAUGUAAAUUGUGUCUUAUGUUAAUAGUUUUGUCUUUUCUUUAUGAUAAUCUUACUGUGAGAGAACUUUGGUCUACGUUGUAACAUCAACCGGUGUUUGCAGUUCCUUAAUUGAUUGCAUUUUCUUCUCUCUUUUUAUUUUCUUUUUUAAGAUUUUCUAAUAUGUUUGUGGUUGUCUACACUGCAUUGUUUCUAGGUAAAGAUAAUAUUACUGUGAGAGAUCUUGGGUCUACGUUGUAACAUCAACAGGUGUUUUCAGCUCCUUAAUUGAUUGCCUUAUCUUCUCUUAUGUUUUUUUAAUAAAAUUUGUUUAAAUAGUCAUCAGUGUUAUCUUCUGUGUAAUAGUUUAUCUUAUUUUGCAGGAUAUAUUUUUGACUCUUAUCAUUUUGAUUUAACCAGAAAUGUCAAGCCCAACAAUUAACUUUUUAUUUUGUUUUGAAGGUUAUCCACAUCCAUAACAUUAUCUUUUGGUGGCAGUGUUUCAGUCCAGUAGUUUCCCAAUUUGACAUGUUAAAUUUGGCAUUCGUUUUUUUCUUCAUUAAGCCCUUUAUUUUUGUGCGCCUUAUCUCUUACUUUCUCUCUCAUUUUUUCCCCAGAUUAGAAGUAGAGUUGCACGUGUUUUGGGGCUAGUUAUCAACAUGGUGCAUUGAGCCCUUGGUGGUUACCUAUUCCAACCUUGUUGAUUUAUCCACAUCAAUAUAUUUAUGCUUUGAUGGAGGUCUUUCAAUCCAGUGGUUACCCAAUUUGACGGUUUUCUUUGUCAUUCGUUUCUUAUUCCUCAUCAACUUUUUUCUGCUCGUCAUAUUCUCUCUCAUUUUUUUCAGAGAUUAGAAGUAAAGUUGCACAUUUGUUUGGGGGGAGUUAUCAACAUGGUGCAUUGAGCCUUUGGUGGUUUACCCUUUUCUAACCUUGCUCAUUUCGGAUCAUGCAUUCAUACUCUUCUUUUUAAUUUCCGCAUUCACUUUUAUUUCGAACUAGAAAAUAUCAAGCCCAACAAUUAACUUUUAAUUUUUGUUUUGAAGGAAUUUUGUUUGAAUGUUAUUUGCAUCAAUAACAUUAUCCUUUGGCCCCUGUGUUUCAGUCUAGUGGUUACCCAAUUUGAUGUGUUUUAUUUGUCAUUCUUUUUUUGCUCUUCAUUUAGCUCUUUGUUUUUGUGCAUCUUAUCCCUCUCUUUCUCUCGCAUUUUUUUUCUUCCAGAGAUUUUAGAAGUAGAGCUGCAUGUGUUUUGGGGGAUGUUAUCAACAUGGUGCAUUGAGCCCUUGGCGGUUUACCUUUCAAACCUUGUUUAUUAAUCCACAUCAAUGCCAUUAUGCUUUGGUGGGGGUGUUUCAAUCCUUUGGUUACCCAAUUUGACGUGUUUGUUUUUUAAUUCGUUUCUUAUUCCUCUUUAAGCCCUUUUUCUGCGUCUUUUUAUCUUUCUUUUUUCCCAGAGAUUAGAAGUAAAUCUGCACAUUUGUUUAGGGGGAGUUAUCAACGUGGUGCAUUGAUCCCUUGGUGGUUUACCUUUUCUAACCUUGGUCAUUUCUUUUUUAGAGAUUGAGGUGCCUAAAUUUAUGAAUUAUUAUUUAAAUACCCUUCCCUAUUUUAUGUUUACAACUUGUCUUGGCAUUCACUAUCGAGUUCUUGCUAGUUACCUGUUCUCUGGGUAAUUUUAGUUAUUGACUUGAAUUUUCUGUACCUUUUUAUUUUUUCCUUGAUUAGUUGACAAAAAAAAGUAGUCCUUCAUUUUUUUGUUUUUGUUUUUCCUUGAGUCUUCUUUUGUCUUCCUUAUCCUGUUGUUUUUCUCUUCCGAGUGUCCCCAGGCUCCGAGGCAAACUAUUAACUUGGUGCAGAGGGGCCCUAGUGCAGUAAUAUUUCUAGCUUAAUUGAUUUUUUUAUCUGAAUUUUGAAGGUGCUUUUGUAUUAUUGUUUUAAUACUCUUCCUUUCCAUAAUGUUGACAUAGGGAAUUUGGUAGCCUUCUCCGAGUAGGUGGGGCUCUGACUUAUUUUAUCAUUUUUUGUCCAUGAGCUAUUUUAAGUUGAAUUCAUCAGUUAUUUACCAACUUGUUUUGUGAUCCUGAUCUUUGCAUUAUCCACUGACAAUCAGAAGCCUAAGCUUGACCUCUUAUUAUGAUAGGCUGUGAUGUAUUAUCUUUCGUGGUUUGCUCCUGGUUUCGUGCAAUGGGUAGUUCUGAACUCGACUUGUCAGAUUUUUCUUGCUUUUAAUUGUUUUACGCCUAACAUGGAAAAUUUCAAUUCUUUUCUAUUUUGCAACUUCCCUGCUGCCACUGUUGGCAUUUUGCUGCUAUCAAGGAUACUGCCAUCCGGUAAUUCCAAACUGGGAAGCCUGUAAAUUGUGUUUCAUAUGUUAAUAAUUUGGUCUUUUCUUAUUGAUAAUAUUACUGUGAGAGAACUUCGGCCUACAUAAUUACGUCAACCGGUGUUUGCAGUUCCUUAAUUGAUUGCAUUUUGUUCUCUCUUUUGUUUUUUUUAAAUGUUUUUAAUCUGUGUGGUUGUCUACUGUGCAUUGUUCCUAGGUUGACUUGGAAAAAACUAGAGUAUUUAGUCGUUGAGGUUCGAAAAAUUAAUUGUAUUAUGUGGUUUUGUAAAUUGUAAUAAAUUUUGAUCUAAUGUACAUCACUUGUAUCUUAUGUAUAAUAAUUUAUCUCAUUUUGAAGGAUAUAUUUUUGACUCUUGAACAUUUUGACUAAGCCUUGUCAGUGGUUUUGGAGCAGGCAUUCUUACUCUUUUCUAUAUCAGCAUUCACAUUUAUUUCUAAACAAAAAAUAUCAAGCCCAACAAUUAACUUUCUACUUUUGUUUUGAAGGAAUUUCGGUUGAAGGUUAUCUACAUCAAUAACAUUAUCCUUUGGUCCCCGUGUUGCAGUCCAGUGGUUACCCAAUUUAUAGUGUUUUAUUUGUCAUUCUUUUUGUUUUUCAUUUAGCCCUUUGUUUUUGUGCAUCUUAUCCCUCUCUUUCUCUCGCAUUUUUUUCUUCCAGAGAUUAGAAGUAGUGUUGCAUGUGUUUUUGGGGAAGUUAUCAACAUGGUGCAUUGAACCCUUGGUGGUUUACCUUUCAAACCUUUGUUCAUUUCUUUUCUACACAUUGAGUGUCUAAUUUUAUUGAUUAUUCUUUAAAUACUCUUCCCUGAUUUACUACAUGGUCAACUUGAGAUGGCAUUUGCUAUCUAGUUUUGGCUAGUUUCAUGUUCUAUGUGUAUCUUUAGUUAUUGAAUUGAAUUUUCAGUACCUUUUCUUUUGAGAAGUUAACAAUAAAAAGUAAUCCUUCGUACGUUGUUUUUGUUCUUCCUUUAGUCUCAUUCUACUCCCUUAUCCCCUAGUUUUUAUGUUCAGUGUUCCAAGGGAUAGUGGGUCUUUAGCGAAAUAAAUUUGUCUGGCAUAGUUAAAUUCUUUUCUGAAAUUUUAUGGUGCUUACCUAUUGUAUUCUUGUUUUAAUGGUCUUCCCAUCCGAUUAUGUUGACAUAUAGGGCAUUUGGUAACCUUCUUUAUUGGAGGAGGCGAGGUUCUGACUUAUUUUAUUUUUUUUGUCCAAAAUUAUCUGGAAUUGUAUUCAUUGGUUAUCUAACAGCUUGUUUUGUGACCCUUGUCUUUCUGUUGUCCACUGACAUUCAGAAGCCUAAGCUGGACCUCUUAUUAUGAAGGCUGUUGUGUAUUCUCUUCCUUGUUUGCUCCUGGUUUCAUGCAAUGGGUAGUUCUGGACUCAAUAAUUUUCAGUUUUUUCUUAUUUGUUACCUAACCAGUUAUCGUCUAACAUUUCACAUUUGAAUCAUCUUCUAUUGUGGACUUCCCCACCACUGUUGUUGCUACUAUCAAGGUAGUGUUAUCUUGUACUACCAAAUAGGAAGCAUGUAAAUUGUGUCUUAUGUUAAUAGUUUUGUCUUUUCUUUAUGAUAAUCUUACUGUGAGAGAACUUUGGUCUACGUUGUAACAUCAACCGGUGUUUGCAGUUCCUUAAUUGAUUGCAUUUUCUUCUCUCUUUUUAUUUCUUUUUUAAAAUUUUCUAAUAUGUUUGUGGUUGUCUACACUGCAUUGUUUCUAGGUAAAGAUAAUAUUACUGUGAGAGAUCUUGGGUCUACGUUGUAACAUCAACGGGUGCUUGCAGCUCCUUAAUUGAUUGCGUUUUCUUCUCUUAUGUUUUUUUAUUAAAAUUUGUUCAAAUAGUCAACAAUUAACUUUUUAUUUUGUUUUGAAGGUUAUCCACAUCCAUAAUUUGGCAUUCGUUUUUUUCUUCAUUAAGCCCUUUAUUUUUGUGCGCCUUAUCUCUUACUUUCUCUCUCAUUUUUCCCCCAGAUUAGAAGUAGAGUUGCACGUGUUUUGGGGCUAGUUAUCAACAUUGUUCAUUGAGCCCUUGGUGGUUACCUUUUCCAACCUUGUUGAUUUAUCCACAUCAAUAUAUUUAUGCUUUGAUGGAGGUUUUUCAAUCCAGUGGUUACCCAAUUUGACGUGUUUUCUUUGUCAUUCGUUUCUUAUUCCUCACCAACUUUUUUCUGCUCGUCAUAUUCUCUCUCAUUUUUUUCAGAGAUUAGAAGUAAAGCUGCACAUUUGUUUGGGGGGAGGUAUCAACAUGGUGCAUUGAGCCUUUGGUGGUUUACCCUUUUCUAACCUUGCUCAUUUCGGAUCAUGCAUUCAUACUCUUCUUUUUAAUUUCCGCAUUCACUUUUAUUUCGAACUAGAAAAUAUCAAGCCCAACAAUUAACUUUUAAUUUUUGUUUUGAAGGAAUUUUGUUUGAAUGUUAUUUGCAUCAAUAACAUUAUCCUUUGGUCCCCGUGUUUCAGUCUAGUGGUUACCCAAUUUGAUGUGUUUUAAUUGUCAUUCUUUUUUUGCUCUUCAUUUAGCCCUUUGUUUUUGUGCAUCUUAUCCCUCUCUUUCUCUCGCAUUUUUUUUCUUCUAGAGAUUAGAAGUAGAGUUGCAUGUGUUUUGGGGUAAGUUAUCAACAUGGUGCAUUAAGCCCUUGGUGGUUUACCUUUCAAACCUUGUUUAUUAAUCCACAUCAAUGCCAUUAUGCUUUGGUGGGGGUGUUUCAAUCCUUUGGUUACCCAGUUUGACGUGUUUUUUUUAAUUCGUUUCUUAUUCCUCAUUAAGCCCUUUUUCUGUAUCUUAUUAUCUCUUUUUUUUUCAGAGCUUAGAAGUAAAUCUGCACAUUUGUUUAGGGGGAGUUAUCAACGUGGUGCAUUGAUCCCUUGGUGGUUUACCUUUUCUAACCUUGGUCAUUUCUUUUAUAGAGAUUGAGGUGCCUAAAUUUAUGAAUUAUUAUUUAAAUACCCUUCCCUAUUUUUUGUUUACAACUUGUCAUGGCAUUCACUAUCGAGUUCUUGCUAGUUACCUGUUCUCUGGGUAAUUUUAGUUAUAUACUUGAAUUUUCUGUACCUUAUUAUUUUUUCCUUGAUUAGUUGACAAAAAAAAGUAGUCGUCCUUCAUUUUUUUGUUUUUGUUUUUUCUUGAGUUCUUUUUCUUCCUUAUCCUGUCGUUUUUCUCUUCCGAGUGUCCCCAGGCUCAGAGGCAAACUAUUAACUUGGUGCAGAGGGGCCCUAGUGCAAUAAUAUUUCUAGCUUAAUUGAUUUUUUUAUCUGAAUUUUGAAGGUGCUUUUGUUUUCUUGUUUUAAUACCUCCUUUCCAUAAUGUUGACAUAGGGAAUUUGGUAGCCUUCUCUGAGUAGGUGAGGCUCUGACUUAUUUAAUCAUUUUUUGUCCACGAGUUAUUUUAAGUUGAAUUCAUCAGUUAUUUACCAACUUGUUUUGUGAUCCUGAUCUUUGCAUUAUCCACUGACAAUCAGAAGCCUAAGCUGGACCUCUUAUUAUGAUAGGCUGUGAUGUAUUAUCUUCGUGGUUUGCUCCUGGUUUCGUGCAAUGGGUAGUUGUGAACUCGACUUGUCAGAUUUUUCUUGCUUUUAAUUGUUUUACGCCUAACAUGGCAAAUUUCAAUUCUUUUCUAUUUUGCAACUUCCCUGCUGCCGCUGUUGGCAUUUUGCUGCUAUCAAGGAUAGUGUCAUCCGGUAAUUCCAAACUGGGAAGCCUGUAGAUUGUGUUUCAUAAGUUAAUAAUUUGGUCUUUUCUUAUUGAUAAUAUUACUGUGAGAGAACUUCGGUCUACAUAAUUACGUCAACCGGUGUUUGCAGUUCCUUAAUUGAUUGCAUUUUGUUCUCUCUUUUCUCAUUUAUUUUUUUAAAUGUUUUUAAUAUGUGUGGUUGUCUACUGUGCAUUGUUCCUAGGUUGACUUGGAAAAAACUAGAGUAUUUAGUCGUUGAGGUUCGAAAAAUUAAUUGUAUUAUGUGGUUUUGUAAAUUGUAAUAAAUUUUGAUUUAAUGUACAUCACUUGUAUCUUAUGUAUAAUAAUUUAUCUCAUUUUGCAGGAUAUAUUUUUGACUCUUGAACAUUUUGACUAAGCCUUGUCAGUGGUUUUGGAGCAGGCAUUCUUACUCUUUUCUAUAUCAGCAUUCACAUUUAUUUCUAAACAAAAAAUAUCAGGCCCAACAAUUAACUUUUUACUUUUGUUUUGAAGGAAUUUUGGUUGAAGGUUAUCUACAUCAAUAACAUUAUCCUUUGGUCCCCGUGUUUCAGUCCAGUGGUUACCCAAUUUGUAGUGUUUUAUUUGUCAUUCUUUUUGUUUUUCAUUUAGCCCUUUGUUUUUGUGCAUCUUAUCCCUCUCUUUCUCUCGCAUUUUUUUCUUCCAGAGAUUAGAAGUAGUGCUGCAUGUGUUUUUGGGGAAGUUAUCAACGUGGUGCAUUGAUCCCUUGGUGGUUUACCUUUUCUAACCUUGGUCAUUUCUUUUUUAGAGAUUGAGGUGCCUAAAUUUAUGAAUUAUUAUUUAAAUACCCUUCCCUAUUUUAUGUUUACAACUUGUCUUGGCAUUCACUAUCGAGUUCUUGCUAGUUACCUGUUCUCUGGGUAAUUUUAGUUAUUGACUUGAAUUUUCUGUACCUUUUUAUUUUUUCCUUGAUUAGUUGACAAAAAAAAGUAGUCCUUCAUGUUUUUGUUUUUCCUUGUCUUCUUUUUCUUCCUUAUCCUGUUGUUUUUCUCUUCCGAGUGUCCCCAGGCUCAGAGGCAAACUAUUAACUUGGUGCAGAGGGGCCCUAGUGCAAUAAUAUUUCUAGCUUAAUUGAUUUUUUUAUCUGAAUUUUGAAGGUGCUUUUGUUUUCUUGUUUUAAUACUCUUCCUUUCCAUAAUGUUGACAUAGGGAAUUUGGUAGCCUUCUCCGAGUAGGUGGGGCUCUGACUUAUUUAAUCAUUUUUUGUCCACAAGUUAUUUUAAGUUGGAUUCAUCAGUUAUUUACCAACUUGUUUUGUGAUCCUGAUCUUUGCAUUAUCUUUCUUGGUUUGCUCCUGGUUUCGUGCAAUGGGUAGUUGUGAACUCGACUUGUCAGAUUUUUCUUGCUUUUAAUUGUUUUACGCCUAACAUGGAAAAUUUCAAUUCUUUUCUAUUUUGCAACUUCCCUGCUGCCACUGUUGGCAUUUUGCUGCUAUCAAGGAUACUGCCAUCCGGUAAUUCCAAACUGGGAAGCCUGUAAAUUGUGUUUCAUAUGUUAAUAAUUUGGUCCUUUUCUUAUUGAUAAUAUUACUGUGAGAGAACUUCGGCCUACAUAAUUACGUCAACCGGUGUUUACAGUUCCUUAAUUGAUUGCAUUUUGUUCUCUCUUUUGUUUUUUUAAAUGUUUUUAAUCUGUGUGGUUGUCUACUGUGCAUUGUUCCUAGGUUGACUUGGAAAAAACUAGAGUAUUUAGUCGUUGAGGUUCGAAAAAUUAAUUGUAUUAUGUGGUUUUGUAAAUUGUAAUAAAUUUUGAUCUAAUGUACAUCACUUGUAUCUUAUGUAUAAUAAUUUAUCUCAUUUUGCAGGAUAUAUUUUUGACUCUUGAACAUUUUGACUAAGCCUUGUCAGUGGUUUUGGAGCAGGCAUUCUUACUCUUUUCUAUAUCAGCAUUCACAUUUAUUUCUAAACAAAAAAUAUCAAGCCCAACAAUUAACUUUUUACUUUUGUUUUGAAGGAAUUUUGGUUGAAGGUUAUCUACAUAAAUAACAUUAUCCUUUGGUCCCCGUGUUUCAGUCCCGUGGUUACCCAAUUUGUAGUGUUUUAUUUGUCUUUCUUUUUGUUUUUCAUUUAGCCCUUUGUUUUUGUGCAUCUUAUCCCUCUCUUUCUCUCACAUUUUUCACUUCCAGAGAUUAGAAGUAGUGCUGCAUGUGUUUUUGGGGAAGUUAUCAACAUGGUGCAUUGAACCCUUGGUGGUUUACCUUUUAAACCUUUGUUCAUUUCUUUUCUACACAUUGAGUGCCUAAUUUUAUUGAUUAUUCUUUAAAUACUCUUCCCUGAUUUACUACGUGGUCAACUUGAGAUGGCAUUUGCUAUCUAGUUUUGGCUAGUUUCAUGUUCUCUGUGUAUCUUUAGUUAUUGAAUUGAAUUUUCAGUACCUUUUCUUUUGAGAAGUUAACAAUAAAAAGUAAUCCUUCGUACGUUGUUUUUGUUCUUCCUUUAGUCUCAUUCUACUCCCUUAUCCCCUAGUUUUUAUGUUCAGUGUUCCAAGGGAUAGUGGGUCUUUAGCGAAAUAAAUUUGUCUGGCAUAGUUAAAUUCUUUUCUGAAAUUUUAUGGUGCUUACCUAUUGUAUUCUUGUUUUAAUGGUCUUCCCAACCUAUUAUGUUGACAUAUAGGGCAUUUGGUAACCUUCUUUAUUGGAGGAGGCGAGGUUCUGACUUAUUUUAUUUUUUUUGUCCAAAAUUAUCUUGAAUUGUAUUCAUUGGUUAUUUAACAGCUUGUUUUGUGACCCUUGUCUUUCUGUUGUCUACUGACAUUCAGAAGCCUAAGCUGGAACUCUUGUUAUGAAGGCUGUUGUUUAUUCUCUUCCUGGUUUGCUCCUUGUUUCAUGCAAUGGGUAGUUCUGGACUCAAUAAUUGGCAGUUUUUUCUUGUUUGUUACCUAACCAAUUAUCGUCUAACACGGCACAUUUGAGUCCUCUUAUAUUUUGGACUUACCCAUCAUUAUGUUGCUACUAUCAAGAAUAGUGCCAUCUUGUACUAUUAUCAAAUAGGGAAGCCUGUAAAUUGUGUCUCAUGUUAAUAGAUUGGUCUUUUCUUUAUUAUAAUCUUACUGUGAGAGAACUUUGGUCUACGUUGUAUCAUCAACAGGUGUUUGCCGUUCCUUAAUUGAUUGCAUUUUCUUCUCUCUUUUUGUUUUCUUUUUUUUAAAUUUUCUAAUCUGUUUGUGGUUGUAUACCCUGCAUUGUUUCUAGGUAAAGAUAAUAUUACUGUGAGAGAUCUUUGGUCUUUACUUUGCAAUGUCAACAUGUGUUUGCAGCUCCUUAAUUGAUUGUGUUUUCUUGUCUCUUUGUGUUUUAAAAAAUUUUAAUCUGUGUGAUUGUCAUUGUUCUUAGGUUGACUUUGUAAAAGACUAGAGUAUUUAGUCAUUGAGGUUUGAAAAAUUAAUGGCGUUGUGGUGCUUUUUAAUCAUAGUUUUGUUUAAAUAUCCAUCAGUAUUAUCUUCUGUGUAAUAGUUUCUCAUUUCGCAGGAUAUAUUUGUCUCUUGACAUUUUGACUAAGCCUUAUUAGUAGUGCUUUUGGAUUACACAUUCUUACUCUUCCUUUUCAAUUUCUGCAUUCUCAUUUAUUUCUAACCAGAAAAUUUUAAGCUCAGAUAGUAACUUUUUUACUUUUGUUUUGAAGGUUAUCACAUCAAUAACAUUAUCGUUUGGUGGGGGUGUUUCAGUUCAGUGGUUACCCAAUUUGACAUGUUUUAUUAGUCAUUCGUUGUUUGUUCUUCAUUAAGUCCAUUGUGCGUCUCGUCUCUCUCUCAUUUUUUUUCUUCCAGAGAUUAGAAGUGAGCUGCAUAUUUGUUUUUGGGGGAAGUUAUCAAAAUGGUUCAUUGGGCCUGUGGUUGUUUACCUUUUCUAAUUAAUUUCUUUUCUACCGCAUUGAGGUGCCUAAUUUUAUGGAUUAUUCUUUAAAUACACUUCCCUGAUUUAUGUGGUCAACUUCACAUGGCAUUUGCUAUCAAAAUUUGUUAGUUACCUAUUCUAUGUGCAUUUUCAGUUAUUGACUUGAAUUCCUUGAUAAGUUAAUGAAAAAAAGCAGUCGUCCUUCAUUUUUUGUUUUUCCUAAAUUUUAUCCUUAGUUUUUUGGUCUUCCUAGAGUCAUUCUUCUCGCUCAUCCUCUAGUUUUUCUCUUUUGAGUGUUCCCAGGCAUAGUUGUCCCCUAGUGAAAUAAUUUUGACUAGCAUAGUUGAUUUCUUAUCUGAAAUUUAUGGUGCUUACCUACAGUAUUAUUUGUUUUAAUACUCGUCCCUUCCCUUUAUGUUGACAUAGGGCAUUUUGGUAGGCUCCGACUUAUUAAUUGUUUUUUUAUCCUAAAUUUAUCUUGAGUUGUAUUAAUUGGUUAUUUAACAGCUUGUUUUGUGACACUUGUUUUUGUGUUAUCCACUGUCAUUCAGAAGCCUAAGCUGGACCUCUUAUCACGAAGGCUGUCGUGUAUUCUCUUCCUUGUUCACUCCUGGUUUCAUGCAAUGCAAAGUUAUGGACUCAAUAAUUGUCUGUUUUUCGUGCUUGUUAACUAAACGUUCAUCGUCUAACAUGUCACAUUUGAAUAUUCUUGUAUUGUGGUCUUCCCCCACCGCUGGUGUUGGCAUCUUGCUACUAUCAAGGAUAGUGCCAUCUUGUACUAUCAAAUGGGGAAGCCUGUAAAUUGUCUUUAUGUAAUAGUUUGGUCUUUUCUUUCUAAUAAUAUUAUUGUGAAAGAACUUUGGGCUACAUUAUAACAUCAACCAGUGUAUGCAGUUCCUUAAUUGAUUGCAUUUUCCCUCUCUCUCUCUCUCUCUCUCUUUUUAAUUGUAAUUUUUCUAAUCUGUGUUGUUGUCUACAGUGCAUUGUUCCUAGGUUGACUUUGGAAAAAACUAGAUUAUUUAGUCGUUGAGGUUUGAAAAAUUAAUUGCAUUGUUGGGCUUUUUUAUAAAAUUUGAUUAAAUAACCAUCGCUAUUAUCUUUUGUGUAAUAAUUUGUCUCAAUUUGCAGGAUAUAUAUUUUGAUUCUCAAUAUUUUGACAACGUGUUAGUGUUUUUGGAUCACGCAUUCUUGCUCUUUCUUUUCUAUUUCCGCAUUCACAUUUAAUUCUUACCAGAAAAUGUUAAGCCCAGAUAGUAUCUUUUUUACUUUUGUUUUGAAGGAUUUUUUUUGAAAAUUAUGCACAUCAUUAACAUUAUCCUUUGAUGGGGUUGUUUCAGUCCGGUGGUAACCCAAUUUGACGUGUUUUAUCUGUGGUUUGUUUUUUGUUCUUCAUUAAGUCCAUUGUUUUUGUGUGUCUUAUCUCUCUCUCUCUCAUUUUUUUCUUCCAGAGAUUAGAAGUAGAGUUGCAUAUGUCUUGGAGGAGGUUAUCAGCAUGGUGUGUUGAGCCCUUGGUUGUUUACCUUUUCUAACCUUGUUAAAUUUCUUUUCUACCACAUUUUAUUGUUUAUUCUUUAAAUACACUUCCCUGAUUUAUGUGGACAAAUUUACAUGGCGUUUGCUAUCUAGUUUUUGCCAGUUUCCUGUUUUAUGUGUAUUUUUAGUCAUUGGCUUGAAUUUUUUGUACCUUUUCUUUUGAUAAGUUAACCAAAAAAAAAUUAGUAGUCCUUCAUUUUUUGUUUUUGCUAAAUUUCAUCCUUUGUUUUUUUGGUCUUCCUUGAGUCUCAUUCUUCUCCCUUGUCCUCUUGUUUUACUCUUCGAGUGUUCCCAGGCACAGUGGGCCCCGAGUGAAAUAAUUUUGUCUAGCAUUGUUGAUUUCUUAUCUGAAUCUUUUUGGUGCUUACUUAUUGUAUUAUUGUUUUUAUACUCCUCUCCCAUUAUUUUGACAUAGGUCUUUUGGUAACCUUCUUUACUGGAGGAGGUGAGACUAUUUUAUCCAUUUUUGUCCAUAAUUUAUCUUGAGUUGUAUUCACUGGUUAUUUAGCCAGCUUGUUUUGUGACCCUUGUCUUUUCGUUAUCCACUGACAUUCAGAAGCCUAAGCUGGACCUCUUAUUACGAAGGUCAUAGUGUAUUCUCUUGUUUGCUCCUGGUUUCUUGCAAUGGGAAGUUCUGGAAUAAAGAAAUUGUCUGUUUUUUCUUGCUUGUUACUGUCUAACAUGCACAUUUGAAUCCUCUUCUAUUGUGGAUUCCCCACCGAUGCUGUUGGCAUCUUGCUACUAUUAAGGAUAGUGCCAUCUUGACCAAACAGGGAAGCCUGUAAAUUGUGCGUUAACAGUUUGGUCUUUUCUUUUUUAAAAUAUUACUGUUAGAGAACUUUGGUCUACAUAGUAACAACUGGUGUUCGCAGUUCCUUAAUUGAUUGCAUUUAUCUUCCGUCUUUUUUGUUUUUCUAAUUUUUUUUUUAAUCGGUGUGUGAUUGUCUGCAGUGCAUUGUUCCUAGUUUGACUUUUUUGAAAGUAUUUAGUCGUUGAGGCUUGAAAUUUUUUUGGCGUUGUGAGACGUAAUAAAAUUUUAUUAAAUAUCCAUCACUAUCAUCUUAUGUGCAAUAGUUUGUUUUGUCUCAUUUUGCAAGAUAUAUUUUUGACUAUUAACAUUUUGACCAAGCCUUAUUAGUGGUUUUGGAUUAUGCAUUCUUACUCUUCUUUUCAAUUUCUGCAUUCGCGUUUAAUUCUAACCAGAAAAUGUCAGGCCCAAAUUAACUUAUUUUUUUUGUUUUGAAGGGAUUUUAUUUGAAGGUUAUCCAUAUCAAUAACAUUAUCCUUUGGUGGGGGUGUUUUGGUCCAGUGGUUACCCAAUUUGACGUGUUUUAUUAGUUCUUCGUUUUUUUUUCUUCAUCAAGUCCUUUAGUUUUGUGCGUCUUAUCUCUCUCUCUCAUUUUCCCCCCUGAGAUUAGAAGUAGAGCUGCAUGUGUUUUGGGGGAAGUUAUCAACAUGGUGCAUUGUGCCCUUGGUGGUUUACCUUUUCUAACCUUGUUAAUUUAUUUUCUACCACAUUGAGAUGCCUAUUUUAUGGAUUAUUCUUUAAAUACACUUCCCUGAUUUAUGUGGACAACUUGACAUGAAAUUUGCUAUCUAGUUUUUGCUAAUUACAUGUUCUCUGUCUAUAUUUAGUAGGACGUGGAAUUUAUACAAUGGAUUCAGAAGCAUCAAACGUCUCUUGUUCGGAAGAAUCGAAAUGGUACCAGCCGUACUUACUAAUAGAAGGAUAUGGCAGAAAUAUGUAAAAUUGUCCCUCCUAAAAAGAUUAUUCCAGAAUAAAUGGGCACUAGUUAGGAGAGGUGCGCUUGCGGCGAGUAGAAGCAAGGUUAUUAGAUACCUCAGGAAAGCUUGGCUUGAAUUUUCUGUACCUUUUCUUUCGAUAAGUUGACAAAAAAAAGUAGUCAUCCUUCAUUUUUGGUUUUUGCUAAACUUCAUCCUUUGUUUUUGGGUCUUUUCUCAUUCUUCUCCCUUAUCCUCUAGUUUUACUCUUCGAGUGUUCCCAGGCACAGUGGGCCCCUAGUGAAAUAAUUUUUACUAGCAUUGUUGAUUUCUUCUCUGAAUAUUUUUGGUGCUUACCUAUUGUAUUAUUGUUUUAAUACUCUUCCCUACCAUUAUGUUGACGUAGGGUAUUUGGUAACCUUCUCUAUUGGAGGAGGUGAGGAUCUGAGUUAUUUUGUGAACUGUCCAACCGCUGAUGUUGGCAUCUUUGUUACUAUCAAGGAUAUUGCCAUCUUGUUCUACCAAACAGGGAAGCCUGUAAAUUGUACGUCUUACGUUAGCAGUUUGGUCUUCUCUUUUUGAUAAUAUUACUGUUAGAGAACUUUGGUCUACAUAGUAACAUCAACUGGUGUUCGCAGUUCUUUAAUUGAUUUCAUUUUCUUCUCUCAUUUUUUUAAUCUGUUUGUGGUUGUCUACGGUGUAUUGUUCCUAGGUUGACUUUGGAAAGUAUUUAGUCGUCGUGGUUUGAAAAAUUAAUGGCAUUGCUUUUCAAUUAAAUUUGAUUAAAUUUUCAUUAGUGUUAUCUUCUGUGUAAUAGUUUAUCUCAUUUUGCAAGAUAUAUUUUUGACUCUUUAACAUUUUGACUAUAAGCCUUAUCAGUGGUUUUGGAUCACAUAUUCUUACUCUUUUCAUUUUUACUCUCUUCAAUUUCUGCAUUCACUUUUAUUUCUAACCAGAAAUGUCAAGCCCAACAAUUAAGUUUUUAUUUUUUGUUUUGAAGGAAUUUUGUUUGAAGGUUAUCCACAUCAAUAACAUUAUCCUUUGGUGGGGAUGUUUCAGUCCAGCGGUUACCCAAUUUUUUUUCUUCCAGAGAUUAGAAGUAGAGCUGCAUGUGUUUUGGGGGAAGAUACCAACACGGUGCAUUGAAGCCUUGGUGGUUUACCUUUCAAACCUUGUUUAUUUAUUAAUCUACAUCAAUACCAUUAUGCUAUGGUGGGGGUGUUUCAAUCCUUUGGUUACCCAGUUUGACAUGUUUUUUUUAAUUCGUUUCUUAUUCCUCAUUAAGCCCUUUUUUUGUCCGUCUUAUUAUCCCUCUCUCAAUUUUUUUUCCAGAGAUUAGAAGUAAAUCUGCACAUUUGUUUAGGGGAGUUGUCAUCGUGGUGCAUUCAGCCCUUGGUGGUUUACCUUUUCUAACCUUGCUCAUUUCUUUUCUAGAGAUUGAGGUGCCUAAAUUUAUGAAUUAUUAUUUUCAUACUCUUCCCUGAUUUAUCUUUACAACUCGUCAUGGCUUUCGCUUUCGAGUUCUUGCUAGUUACAUGUUCUCUGUGUAAUUUUAAUUAUUGACUUGAAUUUUCUGUACCUACCUUUUUUUUCCUUGAUUAGUUGACAAAUUUUUUUUCCCUCAAGUCUCCUUUUUCUUCCUUAUCCUGUAGUUUUUCUCUUCGAGUGUCCGCAGGCUCAGAGGCAAACUGUUAACUUGGUGCAGUGGGCCCUAUUGGAAUAAUAUUUCUAUCGUAGUUGAUUUUUUAAUCUGAAUUUGUAAGGUGCUUUUGUAUUAUUGUUUUAAUACUCUUUCUUUCCAUAAUGUUGACAUAGGGAAUUUGGUAGCCUUCUCCGAGUAGGUGAGGCUCUUACUUAUUUUAUCAUUUUUUGUCCAUUAGUUAUUUUAAGUUGUAUUCAUCAGUUAUUUACCAACUUGUUUUGUGACCCUGGUCUUUGCAUUAUCCACCGACAAGCAGAAGCCUAAGCUAGACCUCUUAUUAUUAAGGUUGUGAUGUAUUAUCUUCGUGGUUUGCUUCUGGUUUCGUGCAAUGGUAGUUCUGGAUUCGACUUGUCAGUUUUUUCUUGCUUUUAAUUGUUUUACGCCUAACAUGGCACAUUUCAAUUCUAUUCUAUUUUGCGACUCCACCGCUGCUGCUGUUGGCAUUUUGCUGCUAUCAAGGAUAGUGCCAUCCGGUAAUUCCAAACUGGGAAGCCUGUAAAUUGUGUUUCAUAAGUUAAUAAUUUAGUCUUUUCUUAUUGAUAAUAUUACUGUGCGUCCUAUCUCUCUCUCACUCACUCAUUUUUAGAGAUUAGAAGUAGAGCUGCAUAUGUGUUUUGGGGGAAGUUAUCAACAUGGUGCUUUGAGCCCUUGUUGGUUUACUCUUUCAAACCUUUGUUCAUUUCUUUUCUACACAUUGAGUUCCUAAUUUUAUGGAUUACUCUUUAAAUACUCUUCCCUGAUUUACGUGGACAACUUGAGAUGGCAUUUCCUAUCUAGUUUUUGCUAGUUACCUGUUCUAUGUGUAUUCUUAGUUAUUGAAUUGAAUUUUCGGUACCUUAUACUUUCAUUUUUUGUUUUUGCAAAAUUUCAUCCUUGGUUUUGUGUUCUUCCUUGAGUUUCAUUCUUCUCCCUUAGUGUUCCCAGGCAUAGUGGGACUUUAGUGAAUUAAAUUUGUCUGGAAUAGUUGAAAUUUUUUUCUGAGUUUUUAUGGCGCUUAUCUAUUGUAUUAUUUUUUUAAUGCUUUUCCCAUCCCAUUAUGUUGACGUAUAGGGCAUUUGAUAACCUUCUCUAUUGGAGGAGGCGAGGUUCCGACUUAUUUUAUUGUUUUUUGUCCAAAAUUAUCUUGAAUUGUAUUAAUUGGUUAUUUAGCAGCCAGCUUGUUUUGAAACCCUUGUCUUUGUGUUGUCCACUGACAUUCAGAAGCCUAAGCUGGACCUCUUAUUAUGAAGGCUGUUGUGUAUUCUCUUCCUGAUUUGCUCCUGGUUUCAUGCAAUGGGAAGUUCUGGACUCGAUAAUUUAUUGUUCAGCUUUUUCUUGUUUGUUACCUAACCAGUUAUCGUCUUCUAUUGUGGACUUGCCCACCACUGCUGUUGGCAUCUUGCUACUAUCAAGGUUAGUGCCAUCUUGUACUACCAAACAGGGAAACCUCUAAAUUGUGUCUUAUGUUAAUAGUUUGGUCUUUUCUUUAUGAUAAUCUUACUGUGAGAGAACUUUGGUCUACGUUGUAACAUCAACCGGUGUUUGCAGUUCCUUAUUUGAUUGCAUUUUAUUCUCUCUUCUUUUUAUUCCUUUAAUUUUCUAAUCUGUUUGUGGUUGUCUACACUGCAUUGUUUCUAGGUAAAUAUAAUAUUAGUGUGAGAGAUCUUUGGUCUAAGUUGUAACUUCAACAGGUGUUUGCACAGCUCUUUAAUUGAUUGUGUUUUCUUCUCUUUGUUUUUUUUUUAAAAUUUUCUAAUCUGUGUGGUUGUCUUCGGGGCAUUGUUCUUAGGUUGACUUUGGAAAAGACUACAGUAUUUAGUCAUCGAGGACUGAAAAACUAAUGGCAUCGUGGGGCUUUUUAAUCAUAAUUUGAUUAAAUAUCCAUCAGUAUUAUCUUCUGUGUAAUAGUUUGUCUCAUCUUGAAGGAUAUAUUUUUGACUCUUAACAUUUUGACUAAGCCUUAUCAGUAGUUCUUUUGGAUUACACAUUCUUACUCUUCCUUUUCUAUUUCUGCAUCCACAUUUAUUUCUAUCCAGAAAAUGUUCUCAAAUAGUAACUUUUUUACUUUUGUUUUGAAUGUCAUCACAUCAAUAAAAUUAUUGGGUCUUUUUGAAUAUAUAUUGUCGGUUGUUCUGAUAG